GUGAAAUUGUUGAAAGGGAAACGAUUGAAGUCAGUCAUACCAACGGGAAAUCAACCUUUUGAGUUUGGUCUCGUGGGUUUUGAAGAGUUUUAAAAGCCUUCGGAUUUUCGGGAUUGGGUUCUUCUGGUGUACUUUCUCGUACGGUUAGUCAACAUCGGUUUUGAAUGUCAUAAAAUGACUGGAGGAAUGUGGCUUCGAUCUCGUAUUGAAGUGUUAUAGCCUCUGGUAGAUGCGGUGACCGAAACUGAGGAUUGCAACGAAUACCCUUCUGGGCUAUCCGUCUGGCCUCUGAAAGUUGCUUAGGUGCCGAAAGCGUGCUUACGGCUAUUUAAGUUGACGGUCAACAGGUUAGAACGUGAUUACAUUCGUUAAGGACGUUGACGUAAUGGCUUUAAACGAC
RNAcentral lists this ribosomal RNA (400 nucleotides) under uncultured Glomeraceae. RNAcentral's name for it is "eukaryotic LSU rRNA". The record is from RNAcentral. Lineage: Eukaryota; Fungi; Glomeromycota; Glomeromycetes; Glomerales; Glomeraceae.